RNAcentral lists this ribosomal RNA (492 nucleotides) under uncultured bacterium. Its description in RNAcentral is "partial 16S ribosomal RNA". It matches the Rfam family "Bacterial small subunit ribosomal RNA", at positions 29 to 507 of the family's 1533-position model. The record is from RNAcentral.
AGUGAACGCUGGCGGUAGGCCUAACACAUGCAAGUCGAACGGCAGCACAGUAAGAGCUUGCUCUUACGGGUGGCGAGUGGCGGACGGGUGCGGAAUACAUCGGAAUCUACUUUUUCGUGGGUGAGAACGUAGGGGAACAUACGCUAAUACCGCAUACGACCUACGGGUGAAAGCAGGGGAUCUUCGGACCUUGCGUGAUUGAAUGAGCCGAUGUCGGAUUAGCUAGUUGGCGGGGUAAAGGCCCACCAAGGCGACGAUCCGUAGCUGGUCUGAGAGGAUGAUCAGCCACACUGGAACUGAGACACGGUCCAGACUCCUACGGGAGGCAGCAGUGGGGAAUAUUGGACAAUGGGCGAAAGCCUGAUCCAGCCAUACCGCGUGGGUGAAGAAGGCCUUCGGAUUGUAAAGCCCUUUUGUUGGGGAAGAAAAGCAGCAGGUUAAUACCCCGCUGUUUUGACGGUACCAAAAGAAUAAGCACCGGCUAACUUCGUG